UAACAAUUCAGCAAAUUUGAAUGUGUAAAAACUGAAAUGGGCAAGCCCUAUAUUUGACCCUCUAACUUUCCAAAACCCAUAAAACCUGUUGCACUUGUGAGACAUCACUGAACACAAAUAUGUGUAUUAAAUUGCAGUAAAAACUAACAGUAUUAUGACAUUCACAGUUAAAAGGCCAUGCAGAAAAUAACAAUAUUCCAGGUUUUGUUUUGGUUCUGAGCUUG
This is a non-coding RNA of Pelobates cultripes (western spadefoot toad), 224 nucleotides long. Lineage: Eukaryota; Metazoa; Chordata; Amphibia; Anura; Pelobatidae. The record is from the annotation of a GenBank genome assembly.